RNAcentral lists this ribosomal RNA (546 nucleotides) under Enterobacter bugandensis. RNAcentral's name for it is "partial 23S ribosomal RNA". It matches the Rfam family "Bacterial large subunit ribosomal RNA", at positions 1 to 587 of the family's 2925-position model. The record is from RNAcentral. Lineage: Bacteria; Pseudomonadati; Pseudomonadota; Gammaproteobacteria; Enterobacterales; Enterobacteriaceae. RNAcentral also lists the same sequence under 2 other names.
GGUUAAGCGACUAAGCGUACACGGUGGAUGCCCUGGCAGUCAGAGGCGAUGAAGGACGUGCUAAUCUGCGAAAAGCGACGGCGAGGUGAUAUGAACCUUUGACCCGUCGAUGUCCGAAUGGGGAAACCCAGUGUGAUUCGUCACACUAUCGUUAACUGAAUACAUAGGUUAACGAGGCGAACCGGGGGAACUGAAACAUCUAAGUACCCCGAGGAAAAGAAAUCAACCGAGAUUCCCCCAGUAGCGGCGAGCGAACGGGGAGCAGCCCGGAGUCUGAAUCAGCUUGUGUGUUAGUGGAAGCGUCUGGAAAGUCGCACGGUACAGGGUGACAGUCCCGUACACGAAAAUGCACAGGUUGUGAACUCGAAGAGUAGGGCGGGACACGUGGUAUCCUGUCUGAAUAUGGGGGGACCAUCCUCCAAGGCUAAAUACUCCUGACUGACCGAUAGUGAACCAGUACCGUGAGGGAAAGGCGAAAAGAACCCCGGCGAGGGGAGUGAAAAAGAACCUGAAACCGUGUACGUACAAGCAGUGGGAGCACCUUCG